Molecule: ribosomal RNA, 458 nt
Filed under: uncultured bacterium
Lineage: Bacteria
Description: partial 16S ribosomal RNA
Rfam family: Bacterial small subunit ribosomal RNA
Source: RNAcentral
CCUACGGGUGGCAGCAGUGAGGAAUAUUGGUCAAUGGGCGCGAGCCUGAACCAGCCAAGUCGCGUGAGGGAUGAAGGUACAGAGUAUCGUAAACCUCUUUUGUCAGGGAACAAAGGCGGGGACGUGUCCCCGGAUGAGUGUACCUGAAGAAAAAGCAUCGGCUAACUCCGUGCCAGCAGCCGCGGUAAUACGGAGGAUGCGAGCGUUAUCCGGAUUUAUUGGGUUUAAAGGGUGCGCAGGCGGUCUGUUAAGUCAGCGGUCAAAGCCCGGGGCUCAACCCCGGCCCGCCGUUGAAACUGGCAGUCUCGAGUUGGAGAGAAGUAUGCGGAAUGCGCGGUGUAGCGGUGAAAUGCAUAGAUAUCGCGCAGAACUCCGAUUGCGAAGGCAGCAUGCCGGCUCCACACUGACGCUGAGGCACGAAAGCGUGGGUAUCGAACAGGAUUAGAUACCCGUGUAGU